UGGGGAAUUUUGGACAAUGGGCGAAAGCCUGAUCCAGCCAUGCCGCGUGCAGGAUGAAGGCCUUCGGGUUGUAAACUGCUUUUGUACGGAACGAAACGGCCUUUUCUAAUAAAGAGGGCUAAUGACGGUACCGUAAGAAUAAGCACCGGCUAACUACGUGCCAGCAGCCGCGGUAAUACGUAGGGUGCAAGCGUUAAUCGGAAUUACUGGGCGUAAAGCGUGCGCAGGCGGUAAUGUAAGACAGUGGUGAAAUCCCCGGGCUCAACCUGGGAACUGCAUCUGUGACUGCAUUGCUGGAGUACGGCAGAGGGGGAUGGAAUUCCGCGUGUAGCAGUGAAAUGCGUAGAUAUGCGGAGGAACACCGAUGGCGAAGGCAAUCCCCUGGGCCUGUACUGACGCUCAUGCACGAAAGCGUGGGGAGCAAACA
RNAcentral lists this ribosomal RNA (427 nucleotides) under uncultured Variovorax sp. Its description in RNAcentral is "bacterial SSU rRNA". It matches the Rfam family "Bacterial small subunit ribosomal RNA", at positions 355 to 774 of the family's 1533-position model. The record is from RNAcentral. Lineage: Bacteria; Pseudomonadati; Pseudomonadota; Betaproteobacteria; Burkholderiales; Comamonadaceae.